Molecule: ribosomal RNA, 464 nt
Filed under: uncultured bacterium
Lineage: Bacteria
Description: partial 16S ribosomal RNA
Rfam family: Bacterial small subunit ribosomal RNA
Source: RNAcentral
CUACGGGGGGCAGCAGUGGGGAAUAUUGCACAAUGGGCGCAAGCCUGAUGCAGCCAUGCCGCGCGUAUGAAGAAGGCCUUCGGGUUGUAAAGUACUUUCAGCGGGGAGGAAGGGAGUAAAGUUAAUACCUUUGCUCAUUGACGUUACCUGCAGAAGAAGCACUGGCUAACUCCGUGCCAGCAGCCGCGGUAAUACGGAGGGUGCAAGCGUUAAUCGGAAUUACUGGGCGUAAAGCGCACGCAGGCGGUUUGUUAAGUCAGAUGUGAAAUCCCCGGGCUCAACCUGGGAACUGCAUCUGAUACUGGCAAGCUUGAGUCUCGUAGAGGGGGGUAGAAUUCCAGGUGUAGCGGUGAAAUGCGUAGAGAUCUGGAGGAAUACCGGUGGCGAAGGCGGCCCCCUGGACGAAGACUGACGCUCAGGUGCGAAAGCGUGGGGAGCAAACAGGAUUAGAUACCCUUGUAGUC